RNAcentral lists this ribosomal RNA (560 nucleotides) under Alexandrium tamarense. Its description in RNAcentral is "partial Bacterial large subunit ribosomal RNA". It matches the Rfam family "Bacterial large subunit ribosomal RNA", at positions 594 to 1155 of the family's 2925-position model. The record is from RNAcentral. Lineage: Eukaryota; Dinophyceae; Gonyaulacales; Pyrocystaceae.
UGACUGCGUACCUUUUGUAUAAUGGGUCAGCGACUUACAUUCAGUGGCAAGCUUAACCGAAUAGGGAAGGCGUAGGGAAACCGAGUCCGAAUAGGGCGAUUCAGUCGCUGGGUGUAGACCCGAAACCAAGUGAUCUAUCCAUGGCCAGGAUGAAGGUGCCGUAACAGGUACUGGAGGUCCGAACCGACUAAUGUUGCAAAAUUAGCGGAUGAGCUGUGGAUAGGGGUGAAAGGCUAAACAAACUUGGAGAUAGCUGGUUCUCUCCGAAAACUAUUUAGGUAGUGCCUCAAGUAUUACCUGCGGGGGUAGAGCACUGUUUUGGCUAGGGGGUCAUGGCGACUUACCAAACCAAGGCAAACUCCGAAUACCGCAGAGUACAGCUUGGGAGACAGAGCACCGGGUGCUAACGUCCGGACUCAAGAGGGAAACAACCCAGACCGCCAGCUAAGGUCCCUAAUAUUGGCUAAGUGGGAAACGAAGUGGGAAGGCUAAAACAGUCAGGAUGUUGGCUUAGAAGCAGCCAUCAUUUAAAGAAAGCGUAAUAGCUCACUGAUCGAGUC